Molecule: ribosomal RNA, 194 nt
Filed under: uncultured bacterium WkB05
Lineage: Bacteria
Description: partial 16S ribosomal RNA
Source: RNAcentral
AUUACCGCGGCUGCUGGCACGUAGUUAGCCGGUGCUUAUUCUUCCGGUACCGUCAUCCUCCCGCCGUAUUAGGACAGAAGUUUUCUUUCCGGACAAAAGUGCUUUACAACCCGAAGGCCUUCUUCACACACGCGGCAUUGCUGGAUCAGGCUUUCGCCCAUUGUCCAAAAUUCCCCACUGCUGCCUCCCGUAGG